UACGAUUCUCUGACGAAACUCUUUGUGACCC
RNAcentral lists this non-coding RNA (31 nucleotides) under Mus musculus (house mouse). The record is from RNAcentral. Lineage: Eukaryota; Metazoa; Chordata; Mammalia; Rodentia; Muridae.